Molecule: long non-coding RNA, 904 nt
Organism: Aegilops tauschii subsp. strangulata
Lineage: Eukaryota; Viridiplantae; Streptophyta; Magnoliopsida; Poales; Poaceae
Source: RefSeq, a predicted model, not a curated record
ACUCUAAAUUGAAUUUUUGAGUAAUUCAAUUAUACUCAUAUAGUAGUGUGGAUAAAAGUAGCUAACUACAUUCUGUUCUAAGCCUCCUUAUGUCAGCCCAUCUAUCUCUUCAUGUCUUUUGUUUUUCUUCUUGUUCCUUUUUGCUCUUGGGCCAAAUUUCCCACUUAGGCCCAUAUCAGGCGCUGGCCUUCUUCCUCCUCCUCUGUAUGUUCUUCUGAAGCUGGAACAGAACAGGAACAGCCAUGGCCUCCUCCCAUCCCUUUCCUCCUCACAUUUAAUUCCUUGUCCGUUUCACUCCGGUGUCUGCACGAAAAAUGUGGAGAACAAUAUGAAGAAUCCAUUCAGGGAAUAAAAAACUUAACAUUAUUACUUUAAUUCAUCGAACGGAUCCACGAAACGUACAUGCACAAACAACCAUUAAUGGCCACAUUGAGCUCCCUUGAUCUCCCCGUACCGGCUCCCUCGGCCACUAUAAAUUGACCCCAAGGAACCCCUCUCCACCCCGCACCUCCCAGUCCACGAGCCCCUCUCCAAAGCCCUCCAACUCCCGAGCAAUUUCUCGUCGGAGCUGAGCGUCGCCGCCUUCUUCUGUUGAAGCUUGCGACCUCUGCACUGGAGCACUACCUCCGCAAAGAUCGCGACCGACCGGAGCUCCAAGCAACUCCGGCGGCAUCUUCACGACGCUUGAGGACGGGGACGAGCACCUCUCCGUGUCCUUCGUGACUGCCUCACGCCCUCUACGUCGUCCCGCUCUCACCGGACACCAGAACAAGCUCCAUCGCCGGAUCUUCCCCAUGUCCGAGCCACGCCGCCCGUCUCCGGCGACCUAGUCGUUCAACUCCGCUAGAUAUGUCAUAAAGUGAAGGAGUGACGGUAACAAGUAGGAAUCAACUUCAAGACACAG